Non-coding RNA from Cyprinodon variegatus (sheepshead minnow), 452 nucleotides. The record is from the annotation of a RefSeq genome assembly. NCBI's taxonomy places the organism in Eukaryota, Metazoa, Chordata, Actinopteri, Cyprinodontiformes, Cyprinodontidae.
AGUGUAAAGGAGACUCAGUGACGCAGACAGAAGGACAUGUUGCUGCUGCUAGAGGAGAAUGUGUGACUCUGGGAUGUAUUUUUACAACAAGCUAUACAGGUUAUACCUUGUUCUGGUAUAAAUUAGAAGAAAACAGCUUUCCGAAGUACAUGCUAAAGCAACUUUCUUCAACCAAGGAAAAAGCUCCAGAUUUUAACCACAUCAGAUUCAAUGCUGACCUUGACAGUGACAAGAAAUCCUUCAAUCUGACGAUCCAGGAUCUCCGUCUGUCAGACUCUGCUGUGUACUACUGUGCUCUGCAGCCCACAGUGACAGGAAACACCAGAACUCUGUACAAGAACCUGCAGAGCAAAGACAACACGGCACCCAACAAUAUCCACCAGAGAGCCUUACAGUCUAUGAGAUUUAGUCAGGUUAUUAUACUGAAACCAAACAUCAUUUCUAAUUUGUGA